GGAGGGGUUCCCGAGCGGCCAAAGGGAUCAGCCUGUAAAUCUGACGACUACGACUACGAAGGUUCGAAUCCUUCCCCCUCCACCA
Molecule: transfer RNA, 85 nt
Filed under: Pseudomonas syringae pv. actinidiae
Lineage: Bacteria; Pseudomonadati; Pseudomonadota; Gammaproteobacteria; Pseudomonadales; Pseudomonadaceae
Description: tRNA-Tyr
Rfam family: tRNA
About the family: Transfer RNA (tRNA) molecules are approximately 80 nucleotides in length. Their secondary structure includes four short double-helical elements and three loops (D, anti-codon, and T loops).
Source: RNAcentral